Molecule: ribosomal RNA, 492 nt
Filed under: uncultured bacterium
Lineage: Bacteria
Description: partial 16S ribosomal RNA
Rfam family: Bacterial small subunit ribosomal RNA
Source: RNAcentral
AGUGAACGCUGGCGGUAGGCCUAACACAUGCAAGUCGAACGGCAGCACAGUAAGAGCUUGCUCUUACGGGUGGCGAGUGGCGGACGGGUGAGGAAUACAUCGGAAUCUACUUUUUCGUGGGGGAUAACGUAGGGAAACUUACGCUAAUACCGCAUACGACCUACGGGUGAAAGCAGGGGAUCUUCGGACCUUGCGCGAUUGAAUGAGCCGAUGUCGGAGUAGCUAGUUGGCGGGGUAAAGGCCCAACAAGGCGACGAUCCGUAGGUGGUCUGAGAGGAUGAUCCGCCACACUGGAACUGAGACACGGUCCAGACUCCUACGGGAGGCAGCGGUGGGGAAUAUUGGACAAUGGGCGCAAGCCUGAUCCAGCCAUACCGCGUAGGUGAAGAAGGCCUUCGGGUUGUAAAGCCCUUUUGUUGGGAAAGAAAAGCAGCAGGUUAAUACCCCGCUGUUCUGACGGUACCCAAAGAAUAAGCACCGGCUAACUUCGUG